Molecule: small nuclear RNA, 58 nt
Filed under: Oryzias latipes (Japanese medaka)
Lineage: Eukaryota; Metazoa; Chordata; Actinopteri; Beloniformes; Adrianichthyidae
Source: RNAcentral
GGCACUGGUAGAAGGUACUCUGGCUUUAGCAAGAUGGGGUUCGACUCCCCGCAGUCUC